This is a long non-coding RNA of Acinonyx jubatus (cheetah), 2232 nucleotides long. RefSeq lists it as uncharacterized. The record is from RefSeq and is a predicted model, not a curated record. Lineage: Eukaryota; Metazoa; Chordata; Mammalia; Carnivora; Felidae. The transcript has 5 exons.
AUCAAGAUCAAACUUUCUUCCUGAUUUCCUAGAUUGGUUGAAAGAAGAAAACAUGCUUAUGUUUAGAAAUAGAGUCCUGGCACUGUGGAAGAAAGAACGCACGGGAAUUACUAGGUCAAGCUCAGAUCCCGUCUGCUCAUUCAUUCAUUCAUUCAUUCCGAACUCAGCCUUUGGAGAGAUAGCCAUAUCAACAAACAUGCAAAAUAUGCAAGAUGAAGUGUGCUGUACCCCGGUUACUUCCUGAGUCAGAGGAAGAGAAAACAAGGCGUUCUCUCUGGAGGAAUCACGGAAGACCUUCCACCCUUAACAGGAGGCAUUUGAGAAGAUAGAGGAACACGUUAAAUGACACCAGCAAGUUCAUAGGCGAGUACAGAGUAUAAGACGUUCUGCAAGACAACUAACCCAGAUUCUGCAGGAAAGAAAAAAAGGAGGUACACGACUCUGGGUUACAGGAGACCUAAAAGGUGUAAUAAUCCAAUGUGCUGUGCGACCUCUCCUGAACGCUAACAAGAAUUUUUUUCAACAUUAUUGGGCAAAGAUGAUUAUGAGCUUGGGAUUGGGUGACACGAGAAAAGUGACUGUAAGUUUUGUGGGGAGCGAUAAUGACACUGGGUCUUUCAGAAAAUAUCCUUAUCUUUAGAGAGGUAGAAGAAAUAUGCAAGGUGUUAGCAAUUUGGUUUAAAAGUUGGUUUUGAAAAUAUUUUAGCCAAUGAAAGGGGACAAAGAAGUGAAACAAAAGGGUAAACAUUUUUUUGAAUUAUAGCUGAAUCUGGGUGAUAGGUAUUCUAUUCUUUCUUGCUUGCUCAUGUUUGAAGUAGAACAUGUAAAAACAAUAGAAGAAAAACAGGAAGAGGAGGAGGAGGAGAAGAGAAAUUAUCAUUAUCAACAUACAUUUGGCAUUUUAUGUAUUGGAGACUUUUUUUAAAGUUCAGUUUUGCAAUAUUUUUAAAAAAAUUUUUUUUAACGUUUAUUUAUUUUUGAGACAGAGACAGACAGAGCAUGAACAGGGGAGGGUCAGAAAGAGAGGAAGACACAGAAUCCGAAGCAGGCUCCAGGCUCUGAGCUGUCAGCACAGAGCCCGAAGUGGGGCUCGAACUCACAAACCGCGAGAUCAUGACCUGAGCCGAAGUCGGACGCUUAACCGACUGAGCCACCCAGGGGCCCCAAUUUUGCAAUAUUUUUAAGUUCAAUUCAAUAUACUUAUUUCUUAAGAGCUACUUAAGUACUUGAGACGGUUUUGUGUAACUCUAACCAUCAAAGUACCUAGAAAGGAAAUAAAAUACAAGACAUUUAAAAAUGGUGGCCUGUUAGAAUGAUGCAUUCGAUUGAAAUGUUUUAAGUUUCUAGGAGAAAACAAAUAUUACUGAACGUUCUCUCAAAAGUUAUUAGAAAUAUGAGUUUCGCAUAAAUAAAAUGAUAGAAUUUCUAAAAUAAACUAUGAUUUUGAAGUUACAAUGUUAAUAAUUGAAUAUGAAUUCUUAGAGGACAAACCAACCUGAACAAUCAUUUCUGCACACAAAAGCUACCCUUGAGGGCACUAAAAACUCACAUCAGUGGUGCCGUUUAAAGAAGAAGAAGAAAAUAACAGUGCACCCAUCCUUCCUCGUGUUUUCAUAUUGCUGGAUUGAAUCGUCAUAUUUAAAAUUUUUUAAUGUGUAUUUAUUUUUGAGAGAGAGAGGGACAGAGACAGGGCGCAAGCAGGGGAGGGGCAGAGAGAGAGGGAGACACAGAAUCCAAGGCAGGCUCCGGGCUCCGAGCUGUCAGCACAGAGCCUGACACGGGGCUCAAGCUCAUAGAACAGGAGAUCAUGACCUGAGCCAAGGUCAGAUGCUCAGCUGACUAAGCCACCCAGGUGCCCCGAAUCUUCUUCUUUUUUUUUUUUUUUAAUGUUUAUUUAUUUUUAAGACAGAGACAAUGAGCCAAAUGCGGAGGGGCAGAGAGAGAGAGAAGAAGACAGAGGAUCCAAGGCGGGUUCCAGGCUCUGAGCGGUCAGCACAGAGCCUUAUGUGGGGCUCGAACUCGUCAACCACAAGAUCAUGACCUGAGCCAAAGUCCAACGCUCAACCGACUGAGCCGCCCAGUCCAGGUGGAUGUGGGGCCUUCGUGAUGUCUUGAACCAGGGUCGAUCUUGUCCUACCGACCUCCGUUCAUGGCUUCCAUCCACGAUGUCAGAUGGCUCACACACGGCUCACCACUGCCUCCAUACUCGGGCCAGCAGAAAGGAGAAGGAAU